ACGAACGCUGGCGGCGUGCUUAACACAUGCAAGUCGAACGGUGAAGCGCCUUCCUUUUUGGUGGGUGUGGAUGAGUGGCGAACGGGUGAGUCACACGUGAGUAACCUGCCCCCUUCUUCUGGAUAACCGCAUGAAAGUGUGGCUAAUACGGGAUAUUCUGGGUCUGUCGCAUGAUGGGUCUGGGAAAGAUAUUGUUUCGGUGGGGGAUGGGCUCGCGGCCUAUCAGCUUGUUGGUGGGGUGAUGGCCUACCAAGGCGGUGACGGGUAGCCGGCCUGAGAGGGUGGACGGUCACACUGGGACUGAGACACGGCCCAGACUCCUACGGGAGGCAGCAGUGGGGAAUAUUGCACAAUGGGCGCAAGCCUGAUGCAGCGACGCCGCGUGAGGGAUGGAGGCCUUCGGGUUGUGAACCUCUUUCGCCAGUGAAGCAGGCCUGCCUCGUUUGUGGGUGGGUUGACGGUAGCUGGAUAAGAAGCGCCGGCUAACUACGUG
This 493-nucleotide ribosomal RNA is filed under the name uncultured bacterium. RNAcentral describes it as "partial 16S ribosomal RNA". It matches the Rfam family "Bacterial small subunit ribosomal RNA", at positions 29 to 507 of the family's 1533-position model. The record is from RNAcentral.